Molecule: long non-coding RNA, 845 nt
Organism: Lontra canadensis (Northern American river otter)
Lineage: Eukaryota; Metazoa; Chordata; Mammalia; Carnivora; Mustelidae
Exons: 2
Source: RefSeq, a predicted model, not a curated record
UGAAAAGCUAACUUGCGUAGAAAAGUUUAUUUUUCAAUGUCAAGAAAAGUCACGCCUAUUUGUGUUGUAUAAAAAUUAGAAAAUACCUUCAUAUUGUCCCAUUAAAAAACAAAACAAAAUAGCUAAAUCUUUGUGCAGAGUAUAGAUGACCUGCAUAACUUUUGUUCUAUAGAAGGGAUACUGAGAAAACAAUUAUUUUUAAAUAACCCAAGUACAACCAGCAUUAUUACUUCAUUUUUUAUUUAUUUGAAUGCCUUUGAUGAUUUAUUUGGAUUCUGUUCCUGCUUGGAUAAAUGCAUUUCACUUUGUGUAUUGUAGCUGUGACAGAUAAUGCUAGAUGAUCCUCAAUACACCUCGACUUUCUUCUAAUAGAGUAACUAACCUCUCCAACCUCUGACCUUCCUCCACCCCAUUUUUUAGAAACAUGGCCUCCCAACUAUGGACUACAUUUCCCAGCAUCUCUAGAAGCUAGAUAAGUUCGUGUAAAACUUCCGGGCAAUAGAAGAGGAGUGAAAUCGAUAUCUUUAAUUUCUGGGUCAUCUCCUUAAACAUUUGUCCUGUACUCUCCCCUGUCCCUUCUUCUGUGGGCCAUAGGACAGAUGUGGUAGAGACCAAGGUUCUGUAACCCUGAAGAACAUGACAUCAGGGAAUGGUAAUGCAGCAUAAAGGAAGGCACUUGCGUCCUUUAAUGACCUAGAGGAGUCAGUCUACUUCACCACCUGGACCAGCGGGACUGUAAUGUGAGAAAUGCAUUUCUAUCUAUGCAUCCAUAACCUGAACCUAAGUGGGAAAAAGGAAGUGGAGGAAGAGGAAGAAGAAUGGGAAAACAAACAAACAAAAAACAA